RNAcentral lists this ribosomal RNA (219 nucleotides) under uncultured Symbiodinium. RNAcentral describes it as "partial Eukaryotic large subunit ribosomal RNA". It matches the Rfam family "Eukaryotic large subunit ribosomal RNA", at positions 1322 to 1518 of the family's 3401-position model. The record is from RNAcentral. Lineage: Eukaryota; Dinophyceae; Suessiales; Symbiodiniaceae.
AUGGCGCUGAAGCGGGCCACUUAUACUCCACCACCGGUGCAACAAUCACUUUCACUUGAGUUAGUACUGGGCACCGGUGAGUAGGAGGGCGUGAGGGUCGUCGUGCAGCUCGUGGCGCGAGCCAGAGUGAAACGGCCCUCAGUGCAGAUCUUGGUGGUAGUAGCAACUAUUCCAAUGAGAACUUGGAAGACUCAACGUGGAGAAAGGUUCCACGUGAAC